GGACUUAGGAAUGCGGUGAACACAGGGGAUAGAGAAUGACUCAGAACAGAAAUCUCUACGCCAGUGGGGAGCAGGCGUUUCAUCAGCAAGUUGAAUGCAACGUCUGCAGAUUCUUAUUUUCUUCAUUAUGACUGUGUAUGGAGGAGAAUGGGCAUAGUACACAGACAAAAUAUAGAUCACUGGACAACAAACCACAGCCUGGGGAGCUCCAAGACCUCAGUCCGCCACAGUGGCAUCAGUAAAACAAGCAGGCUCUGCCUGAAUGAACUGGGGUUCUAGCCCAGGGAACCCAGAAGGGGCAACAAUGGGCUAUUUGUCCCCACCAUUGCCAGCCCUGAGUAUCUGAUUGAUUGAAGAUGAUGAAGGAGGGUUUGGGGAUGCAAAAUUUUCUAAAUCCACCUGGAAGUCUGGGAACCUCUCCCUCCAGCCACAAAGUCCUGCCCACACUCUGCAGCAACCAAUCUGGAAAACCAGACUCCAACCUCUACAGCAAUAGGCCCCAAGGAUCAGGACUUGAUCAGUGACUCACAGCUUCGUCAUUUUCAGUCCCUUCCAUGUAGAACCAAAUGCUGGGAAAGCCAAAUAUGUUCCCCUAAGUAAUCACUUAGGAUGCCCCUCUUCCUAUCAGCUUGUCUCCAGCCUCCCACAUCACAAGCUCUGGGCAGGACAUGCCUUCCUUUUUUUGCCACCAGAAAGUGUCCCCACUCUUAUGUGUGCCCUGAGUCUCAGCCUGAUGUGAGUGGUGGUGGCAGACUCCCAUGUUCUAUACACAAGUUCUGAGUAAAUAGUGCUUGUUCUCAUUUGGGGGGUGGGUGUCUUUUUUCAUAUCUACAGA
Molecule: long non-coding RNA, 835 nt
Organism: Physeter macrocephalus (sperm whale)
Lineage: Eukaryota; Metazoa; Chordata; Mammalia; Artiodactyla; Physeteridae
Exons: 3
Source: RefSeq, a predicted model, not a curated record